GGUUUCUGGAGGAAGGUUCGUCCGCUCCAGGUUAGUCGGGAGCUAAGGUGAGGCCGGAAGGCGUAGCCGAUGCACAGACGGUAGAGAUUCCGUCACCACCAAAAGAGUUAAGCACAGGGACACAUUUGAAGUCUCAGAGCCGGGUGUUGGUUCCGGUAGAGAUCGAGGGAAGUUAGUACCGAAGUCUGGGAUGGAAGAUGGCGAGAAAAGCUGUGUGUAUUUCUGAGGUGCCCGUACCGCAAACCGACACAGGUAGGUAGGAAGAAGAUUCUAAGGCCAACGGGAGAAGGGUUGUUAAGGAACUCGGCAAAUUGACCCCGUAACUUCGGGAGAAGGGGUGCUCCAGAGAUGGAGCCGCAGAGAAUCGGCCCAAGCAACUGUUUACCAAAAACACAGGUUUGUGCUAAAUCGAAAGAUGACGUAUACGAGCUGACGCCUGCCCGGUGCUGGAAGGUUAAGAGGAGAUGUGCAAGCAUUGAAUCGAAGCCCCAGUGAACGGCGGCCGUAACUAUAACGGUCCUAAGGUAGCGAAAUUCCUUGUCAGGUAAGUUCUGACCCGCACGAAUGGCGUAACGAUUUGGGCACUGUCUCAACAGCCCGCCCGGCGAAAUUGUAGUACCGGUGAAGAUGCCGGUUACCCGCGACAAGACGGAAAGACCCCAUGGAGCUUUACUGUAGCCUAAUAUUGGGUUUCGAUGUUGCAUGCACAGGAUAGAUGGGACACUGGGAAACAAGUGCUUUGGCAUUUGUGGAGUGGCCGUUGGGAUACCAUCCUUGCGAUAUUGGAAUUCUAACCUGCGCCUUUGAAUCAAGGCGGGGGACAUUGUUAGGUGGGCAGUUUGACUGGGGCGGUCGCCUCCUAAAGAGUAACGGAGGCGUUCAAAGGUUCGCUCAGCUUGAACGGAAAUCAAGCAAAAGAGUGCAAACGCAGAAGCGAGCCUAACUGCGAGACUGACGGGUCGAGCAGUAACGAAAGUUGGAGUUAGUGAUCCGGUGGUAUGUGAGUGGAAAUGCCAUCGCUCAACGGAUAAAAGUUACCCUGGGGAUAACAGGCUGAUCUCCCCCAAGAGUCCACAUCGACGGGGAGGUUUGGCACCUCGAUGUCGGCUCAUCGCAUCCUGGGGCUGAAGUCGGUCCCAAGGGUUGGGCUGUUCGCCCAUUAAAGCGGUACGCGAGCUGGGUUCAGAACGUCGUGAGACAGUUCGGUCCCUAUCUGUCGUGGGCGCAGGAUAUUUGAGAGGCGCUGUCCCUAGUACGAGAGGACCGGGAUGGACGAACCUCUGGUGCACCAGUUGUCACGCCAGUGGCACAGCUGGGCAGCUAUGUUCGGAUCGGAUAAACGCUGAAAGCAUCUAAGCGUGAAGCCGGCCUUAAGAUAAGAUAUCCCACUGAGUCAAUCAGGUAAGACCCCUUGAAGACUACAAGGUUGAUAGGCACACAGUGUAAGCGGAGUGAUCCGUUCAGCUAGCGUGUACUAAUAGGUCGAGGGCUUGACCCC
RNAcentral lists this ribosomal RNA (1498 nucleotides) under human gut metagenome. Its description in RNAcentral is "bacterial LSU rRNA". It matches the Rfam family "Bacterial large subunit ribosomal RNA", at positions 1349 to 2925 of the family's 2925-position model. The record is from RNAcentral.